CGUGUAGGCGGCUUGGUAAGUCGGGUGUGAAAGCCCGGGGCUCAACCCCGGAACUGCAUUCGAAACUGCCUCGCUAGAGUUCCGGAGAGGAAGGCAGAAUUCCCGGUGUAGAGGUGAAAUUCGUAGAUAUCGGGAGGAAUACCAGUGGCGAAGGCGGCCUUCUGGACGGCAACUGACGCUGAGACGCGAAAGCGUGGGGAGCAAACAGGAUUAGAUACCCUGGUAGUCC
RNAcentral lists this ribosomal RNA (229 nucleotides) under uncultured bacterium. RNAcentral's name for it is "partial 16S ribosomal RNA". It matches the Rfam family "Bacterial small subunit ribosomal RNA", at positions 568 to 796 of the family's 1533-position model. The record is from RNAcentral.